CGUAUUUUAGGCCGGUCUGACCGGUUCUAUUUCACCCUGUUUUUUGCGUACCUUUUUGUUUCCUCGGCAGGCUUGCCUGCCAGCAGGACAUUUUCAACUCUCAUGUUAGCAAUCAGCGUCAAAAAUAAAUACAAUUGUAA
RNAcentral lists this unclassified non-coding RNA (140 nucleotides) under uncultured fungus. RNAcentral's name for it is "sequence contains ITS1, 5.8S rRNA gene". Lineage: Eukaryota; Fungi. The record is from RNAcentral.